This 385-nucleotide ribosomal RNA is filed under the name Hyalomma marginatum. RNAcentral's name for it is "partial large subunit ribosomal RNA". The stretch from base 239 to 385 matches the Rfam family "Bacterial large subunit ribosomal RNA", at positions 2473 to 2620 of the family's 2925-position model. Lineage: Eukaryota; Metazoa; Arthropoda; Arachnida; Ixodida; Ixodidae. The record is from RNAcentral.
GAAUGCUAAAAGAAUGGAAAUUUAAAAAAAAACUUUUUUAAAAAUAAAAAUUGAAUUUUUUUUAAUUUGUGCAAAAACAAUUAUACUUAUUAAAGACAAGAAGACCCUAAGAAUUUAAGAUUUUACAAUUAAAAAGUUUUUUUUUAAAAUCUUGAUUGGGGCGAUCAAAAAAUAUUAAUAACUUUUUAAAAUUUAAAUUGAUCUAUUAUUAAUAAACUAAUGAAUUAAAUACUCUAGGGAUAACAGCGUAAUAAUUUUUGAUAGAUCUUAUUGACAAAAUAGUUUGCGACCUCGAUGUUGGAUUAGGAUUCUUUUUUAAUGAAGAAGUUAAAAAAAGAAGUUUGUUCAACUUUUAAAUUCCUACUUGAUCUGAGUUCAAACCGGA